Molecule: ribosomal RNA, 500 nt
Filed under: Flavobacterium sp. AD91
Lineage: Bacteria; Pseudomonadati; Bacteroidota; Flavobacteriia; Flavobacteriales; Flavobacteriaceae
Description: bacterial SSU rRNA
Rfam family: Bacterial small subunit ribosomal RNA
Source: RNAcentral
AGCGGUGGAGCAUGUGGUUUAAUUCGAUGAUACGCGAGGAUCCUUACCAAGGCUUAAAUGUAGAUCGACCGUUUUGGAAACAGAACUUUCGCAAGACAAUUCACAAGGUGCUGCAUGGUAGUCGUCAGCUCGUGCCGUGAGCUGUCAGCUUAAGUCCUAUAACGAGUGCAACCCCUGUCGUUAGUUGCCAGCGAGUCAAGUCGGGAACUCUAACAAGACUGCCAGUGCAAACGUUGAGGAAGGUGGGGAUGACGUCAAAUCAUCACGGCCCUUACGCCUUGGGCUACACACGUGCUACAAUGGCCGGUACAGAGAGCAGCCACUGGGCGACCAGGAGCGAAUCUAUAAAUCCGGUCACAGUUCGGAUCGGAGUCUGCAACUAGACCUCCGUGAAGCUGGAAUGCGCUAGUAAUCGGAUAUCAGUCCAUGAUCCGGUGAAUACGUUCCCGGGCCUUGUACACACCGCCCGUCAAGCCAUGGAAGCUGGGGGUGCCUGAAGU